This 468-nucleotide ribosomal RNA is filed under the name uncultured bacterium. RNAcentral describes it as "partial 16S ribosomal RNA". It matches the Rfam family "Bacterial small subunit ribosomal RNA", at positions 28 to 507 of the family's 1533-position model. The record is from RNAcentral.
GACGAACGCUGGCGGCGUGCUUAACACAUGCAAGUCGAACGGAAAGGCCCUGCUUUUGUGGGGUGCUCGAGUGGCGAACGGGUGAGUAACACGUGAGUAACCUGCCCUUGACUUUGGGAUAACUUCAGGAAACUGGGGCUAAUACCGGAUAGGAGCUCCUGCUGCAUGGUGGGGGUUGGAAAGUUUCGGCGGUUGGGGAUGGACUCGCGGCUUAUCAGCUUGUUGGUGGGGUAGUGGCUUACCAAGGCUUUGACGGGUAGCCGGCCUGAGAGGGUGACCGGCCACAUUGGGACUGAGAGACGGCCCAGACUCCUACGGGAGGCAGCAGGGGGGAAUAUGGCACAGUGGGCGGAAGCCUGAGGAAGCAACGCCGCGUGCGGGAUGACGGCCUUCGGGGUGUAAACCGCUUUCGCCUGUGACGAAGCGUGAGUGACGGUAAUGGGUAAAGAAGCACCGGCUAACUACGUG